AAAAACUUACAUAUAUAGUUUCACGAGUUGUAUAUGACUUCCAGGAAAGGAAUAAAAUAUCCUUCCAUCAAAAGCUACUUUAAUUAUAGUUUAGCAUAUAUGCUAUUGGUAUAGGCUACAAACUCUGUACAUCUUUUUACUCCUUUCUUUUUGAAGAGGAAAAUUUUAGCAAUCAUGAACAAUAAUACUCUUGAUUUUAAUCUUAUUUAUUAGUCAUUUUAGAAAU
RNAcentral lists this unclassified non-coding RNA (226 nucleotides) under Hevea brasiliensis (rubber tree). The record is from RNAcentral. Lineage: Eukaryota; Viridiplantae; Streptophyta; Magnoliopsida; Malpighiales; Euphorbiaceae.